RNAcentral lists this long non-coding RNA (1207 nucleotides) under Salmo salar (Atlantic salmon). RNAcentral's name for it is "lncRNA (ENSSSAG00000114159.1)". The record is from RNAcentral. Lineage: Eukaryota; Metazoa; Chordata; Actinopteri; Salmoniformes; Salmonidae.
CAGCAGUAGGGUAGAAGCAGUAGUAGUUAGCAGCAGUAGGUAGCAGCAGUAGGUAGCAGCAGUAGGUAGCAGCGGCAGGUAGCAGCGGUAGAUAGCAGCGGUAGGUAGCAGCGGUAGGUAGCAGCAGUAGGGUACAAGCAGUUGGUAGCAGUGAUAGGGUAGCAGCAGUAGAUAGCAGCAGUAGGUAGCAGCGGUAGGGUAGCAGCGGUAGGGUAGAAGCAGUAGGGUAGCAGCUGUAGGUAGCAGCAGUAAAUAGCAGCAGUAGGGUAGCAGCAGUAGGGUAGAGCGGUAGGGUAGAAGCGGUAGGGUAGCAGCGGUAGGUAGCAGCGGUAGGGUAGCAGCGGUAGGGUAGUAGCAGUAGGGUAGCAGAAGUAGGUAGCAGCAGUAGGGUAGCAGCAGUAGGGUAGCAGAAGUAGGGUAGCAGCAGUAGGGUAGUAGAAGUAGGGUAGCAGCAGUAGGGUAGAAGCAGUAGGGUAGAAGCAGUAGGGUAGCAGCAGUAGGUAGAAGCAGUAGGUAGCAGCAGUCGGUAGCAGCUGUAGGGUAGAAGCAGUAGGGUAGCAGCAGUAGGUAGCAGCAGUAGGUAGCAGCAGUAGGGUAGCAGCAGUAGGUAGCAGCAGUAGGGUAGCAGCAGUCGGUAGCAGCAGUAGGGUAGCAGCAGUAGGUAGCAGCAGUAGGUAGCAGCAGUAGGGUAGCAGAAGUAGGGUAGCAGCAGUAGGGUAGCAGCAGUAGGUAGCAGCAGUAGGUAGCAGCAGUAGGGUAGCAGAAGUAGGGUAGCAGCAGUAGGGUAGAAGCAGUAGCAGUAGGGUAGCAGCAGUAGGGUAGCAGCAGUAGGGUAGAAGAAGUAGGUAGCAGCAGUAGGGUAGCAGAAGUAGGGUAGCAGCAGUAGGGUAGAAGCAGCAGGGUAGAAGCAGCAGGGUAGCAGAGGUAGGGUAGAAGAAGCAGGGUAGCACAGUAGAUAGCAGCAGGGUAGCAGCAGUAGGGUAGAAGCAGUAGGGUAGGAGCAGUAGGGUAGAAGCAGCAGGGUAGCAGAAGCAGGGUAGAAGCAGUAGGGUAGAAGAAGUAGGGUAGGAGUAGUAGGGUAGAAGAAGCAGGGUAGCAGAAGCAGGGUAGCAGAGGUCAGUAAGUUGUCGUGUUGUCGUGUUGAAACAACUCCGCCAGGUCGAUCAUUUAGCUAGCUAGCGACAUUGUUUGUGAUAUCGAAAGUCAC